UGUGAUGAAGGAUAUGAAGGGACUUAUUGCAACAAAACCUGCGAAAACGGAACAUUUGGACACAACUGCCUGGAGACGUGCAACAGCACUUGUUAUGGCUGUAACAGAACAAAUGGUAAAUGUGAAACUGGGUGUCAUCCAGGAUGGAAAGGAGAUUAUUGUCAUGAAGCAUGCAUAGACGGAUUCUUUGGAGAAAAUUGUGUCAGCAUAUGUAAUACAACAUGUAAGGGAUGUAAUAGAACAAAUGG
Molecule: long non-coding RNA, 248 nt
Organism: Saccostrea echinata
Lineage: Eukaryota; Metazoa; Mollusca; Bivalvia; Ostreida; Ostreidae
Exons: 3
Source: RefSeq, a predicted model, not a curated record